This 588-nucleotide unclassified non-coding RNA is filed under the name Cissus trifoliata. RNAcentral's name for it is "partial external transcribed spacer". Lineage: Eukaryota; Viridiplantae; Streptophyta; Magnoliopsida; Vitales; Vitaceae. The record is from RNAcentral.
UUCCAUGCCUACAUUGGUCCCGUGAAAGGCCUCGCUCGUUGCCUCCGUGCGCUCGUGAGGAGAUAUCUCCGAAUGGGUCGCGGUUCGAUGCGUGCGGUCAUGUCACGAGGAGCCUGAUGGCAUGUGAGUGGUGUUUCGGUUGCGUGGGUUGAUAGGCUCCUUGCUCGUGCGACGAACUAUCGCCCCCUUCCGCAUUUCAUUGUUAGCCCGAGUUCCAUCGGGAGACUCGGGCAUUGUGAAGGCCGGGUUCCUGUGCUGCGUUCCUACUGUGAUGGAAUUGUCCCUUCAAGGUUGCCUUUCCCCCGCCUUGCUUUGCAAUUGCAACGCGGGCGGGACUCGGUAGCGGUCCUUGUGGUCCUCGGUCGCCCCGAACAUGCGAGCAUGGGAGGCGGUGUGCUGUGGCCCAUGAUGUCCGCCGGCGCUCUCGGAUGCGGAACGUUAAGCCGAGCGAGUUGGAUCCCCAACGGAAGCUCGAACUAAGCGGUAUUCGCUGUUUCGGACGACAGCGGCGACCGCCUUGCCCUCACGUUGCCCCGCACCGUCGGGGCCUCGGCGAGGCGCAUGCGGUGCCGCAGUCGCACGAGGAUG